AACGAACGCUGGCGGCAUGCCUAACACAUGCAAGUCGAACGAGACCUUCGGGUCUAGUGGCGCACGGGUGCGUAACGCGUGGGAACCUGCCCUUAGGUUCUGAAUAACUCCCCGAAAGGGGUGCUAAAACCGGAUAAUGUCUUCGGACCAAAGAUUUAUCGCCUUUGGAUGGGCCCGCGUUGGAUUAGCUAGUUGGUAGGGUAAAAGCCUACCAAGGCGACGAUCCAUAGCUGGUCUGAGAGGAUGAUCAGCCACACUGGGACUGAGACACGGCCCAGACUCCUACGGGAGGCAGCAGUGGGGAAUAUUGGACAAUGGGCGAAAGCCUGAUCCAGCAAUGCCGCGUGAGUGAUGAAGGCCUUAGGGUUGUAAAGCUCUUUUACCCGGGAUGAUAAUGACAGUACCGGGAGAAUAAGCUCCGGCUAACUCCGU
RNAcentral lists this ribosomal RNA (432 nucleotides) under uncultured bacterium. RNAcentral's name for it is "partial 16S ribosomal RNA". It matches the Rfam family "Bacterial small subunit ribosomal RNA", at positions 29 to 506 of the family's 1533-position model. The record is from RNAcentral.